GGCAGUUUCCGAGUGUUUCUCAAAAGUCAACACAGGGGUGUGGACAAUCACCACGGGCUCCACCAAGCCCCUGCCAGAAAAUGGGAAACUGGGAAAGAAGCCCAAUGGGACAGACACCUGCUGACUAGUUACCCUCGCUCUGAUGAGAACCCCCCUCCAGAAGUCUCUAUGGGGCUUUGAGUGACCAGGAACUGAUCAAUCAAUCGAUCUCUGUACCGUAUGGAAACUUCCAGUAUUCCACAAAAAGUCUUCAAGACUCAAGACAGUGGGGACAAGUCUGCCUCUUUUGCAUUGGGGGCUCCCCGCCCCCCAGCUCGGGACCAUCGUCCUGGGGCAGAGGCGUCGCUCUGUGGUGGUCACCCACGGUGGACGGAGAAGGGGAGCACGAUGUGUGCCUGUGAGCACGGCUGGUUGUGCUGUACCUGGAUAUUUCUCGCAUCGACUGUCCCUUGCGUAGCGACAGGUGAACAGGGGCGUGCGGGGCACAAGCGACCGGUCUUAGUGGACCAGGUCCUCGGACGCGGGCUUCACCCCCCACACUCCACGUCGGCGGCUCAGAGAUGCACAGCAUCGUCCUUCUCAGCAUUUUGGAAACCAGGCACGUCUUACUGGUGGAUUCGUACACUUAAUGGGGUUCUCUUCUGUUUGUACUCUGGAAAGCCGAUAAAAUGUUUCAGAAUCACCGCCCUCUGAGAAUGGACAAAAUCGCGUUCCUACUGCUGAGCAUGUCGCAUCCCGCAUUAGGAGAGAAAACGAAUGCCAACGGAUACAAAGUCUACUUACCCACAGGGAGAGGCUGAGUCCCACUCCAGGGAUUCGGGCUGCAUCGACCUUAGGGGAGGAGGCAGACUGCUCUCUCUCCCUGAACUCGGCUCAGGAAGCGCUGGGGAACGUGGAAGAAGGUUCUGGAAGAUCAGGAUCCUGAAGAUCCAGCUCUUUUCGUGCCUCUGUGUCUUCAACAGGCCGCUUACAGUUCAUUUCCAUUCUAUGCCAGCCUCUUCCUUUCUAAAUGAUAGAACUCGUUCAAGUGGCCACUUUCCUCUGGUUGGAGAGGCACGUCACCUGCUUCGUGGUUAAUGACGCAACGGCUAACUUGAUGUACAGCCCUUGUUUUCUUUUCUUUUUACAGUUGCCUUACAGAUCGCUUUAGAACCAGUCACGCGACGGAGGGCUGCUGGAUCGAGUUGAAAGUUCUUUAUUCAUGUUGCCAAGCUAGCUUUGAAAAAUGAUAUGCUGAUUAUAAAUACUAGCAGGGUGUGAUUACACCAGCCUCACAAUCAAUUCA
RNAcentral lists this long non-coding RNA (1285 nucleotides) under Felis catus (domestic cat). RNAcentral's name for it is "lncRNA (ENSFCAG00000046919.1)". The record is from RNAcentral. Lineage: Eukaryota; Metazoa; Chordata; Mammalia; Carnivora; Felidae.